Macadamia integrifolia is the source of this 3469-nucleotide long non-coding RNA. RefSeq lists it as uncharacterized. The record is from RefSeq and is a predicted model, not a curated record. The transcript is spliced from 3 exons. NCBI's taxonomy places the organism in Eukaryota, Viridiplantae, Streptophyta, Magnoliopsida, Proteales, Proteaceae.
UGCAUACAUUUGCCCUUCCAAAACCCUGCACCUCACCCUGGCAUUUACGUCGAUGAUGGCAAGGACUUACCCGGAUCCUCAAUUUUACCCUGUAAGAAUUCGGUUAAUCCUACCCUAGAGUAAGUUUCAAUUUUACCCUUCUAACAAUUCUCCCACUUCCCAUCUACGCCCCUUGAACUCCCACUUCAUCGGCAACACCUCGGCCACUCCCUAGUCCCUCCACCACUCUGUUCCCUCCUAACAUCCCCGUCCCACCUCCCUCUUUUUCUUCCUCAACUCCAUGUGCAGCCCUAUCUCACCCCAGAAUGCUCCCUGCAAACCCGCCCCACCCAUCGUAAUCCCCUCCUAUUUCUAUAGCCAUCCUCGCCUCACCCAAAACUCAAUCCCGGAAAACCCAUGAAAAAACGGACGAGUUACCCAACUACCUUGCUGAUGCUCGAUUGUAGCUAUGACCGAAUCAGAUCGAUUCAUCAAUGAAGGAGAGAGGGAAUCGAUUGUUCUUCAGGUAGUGAGCUUAGUCUGUUAUUCAAGUUUUUCAACUAAUUUUCUUUCUCGAUUCCUCUGUUUUUCCAUUGAAACCCUCUGUGCGACCACCAUUGCCACUGAAAGGAGCUUUAUAUGAAACCCACCCUUCGCCACUUGAUUUAAAAGGGGUGGAGCAAAGAUAAUGACAGGGAAGGGAGGGCUAGGUGGACUACGGGGAGUGGUGAGGGAUAGUGGGAGACGAGGUGUAAUGGUGGGGAUGGUGGAAAUGGAGGUCGAGGAGGAGGGUGAGGAGGGGUGGUUACUACUUUGGAUCCAAAGAAUCCAUUCCAAACAAAGAUGAAACCUUAGCGGAGGUCGUGUACGAAACUAACUACGCAGCGAACAGUUUGACGACUUGUGUCGAAGCAGUUAUACUGGUCAGGUCUCUGUUUCUUUUUAAUUGCACUGUUUGUUCUUUCGUUCCUUUUAUCUUUUAGUUAUUUGAUGCUGCGACAUGAUUGUAACUUGUGGUGCGUGGGGUGUGCGUGUGGAAAUGGCUACUGAUUGUCCUUCUACAAUGCAUUAUUAAUUUGAGAGAUUUCUGGAGACAAUAAAUUUGAUGUGAAAUGGCGUUUGUUUUAACAGCAAGGCCAACACCAUCAACUGUUUGAGGUUCCUACAGUGGCCCCUUAUUAUCAUCAGUAUCUCCCAUCAUGGUGGUCUCCCUAUCUGGUUUCACAAGUGCCUGCCACUACAACACCUUCCUGCUCAGGCUCUACCUUUGGGGGUACCAAGUCUGCGUAUGGGGGUUGGACAGUGGUGGGGAGCGACAAAUUGGGCGGGGGAUAGGGUAAGGCCUCAUAGAAUGGUCUAAAGAGAGAAAUUGACGAAGGGGGAGUGGAUAAACGGCUGGAUGGGGUUAAAAUUGGUUGUAGAUGUAGUGGCAUGGCUGGGAGGGCAAGGUGUAGGUGAAACUAGGGUAGGGAGGGAAAGGAUUAAAGUAUCGGAAUCCGUCGCCGUAUCGGUCGGCCAAAAUUAAGAUACAUAUCGGAGGGUAUCGUAUCGUAUCGGAGAUACGUAAAAAAUACGCACAUAAAUGGGUAGGAAACACUUUCUUAUACACUUUUGCAUAAAAAAAAAAAAAGUUAAAAAAAGCUAUAUAUAACAUGUAUUAUGCAUCAACACUAAAUUGAGAAUCCUAAUGUAGACUAGAAUAGAUAAACUACCAAGCCUUCAGCUGCAGGAUUUUUUAAUCAGAAGAGCAACCAAGGAUUGCCUAACAAUAGCACAAUUGAUCAGAAUAGAAGAAGGACCAGAUUGGAUAAACCAGUAAGCUAUCAAUGUCAGUGGGUAGGUAUUCUCAGAUCAGAUCAGAUCAGUAGGUGACCAAAUAGAGACUAUCCAGAAUUGGAAUAAGCUUCACAUAACCCAUUAGAAUGUAAUAAAUCACAGGAGAUUGCUGAAGUCAGAAAAGGUAAAAAAACUCCUAUCGAUUUCAGAUAUAAACUCCUAUCGAUUUCACAUAAUUUAUGCAUGUUCCUCAUGACAUUGCAAACACAUAAUGCUUGUGUUAUCGCCCCUUUUACAACAUAAUUUCCAUAUGUUUAACUUCUUGUGAAUUUUUCCCCCUUUUUGGCAGGUUUUUUAUUUGUUGAAGGACAUUGACCUGGAGUUGAUGAAACAAGGACUCUACUGGACUUGUUUACAAGGCUCAAGCUGGUUUAGUGUGUUUGGUUGAGACUUGUAAAGGAAAAACGAUUUUGGUUGUGCUUGGAUAAUGUCACAUUGUCACCGGUAAAACCAUAAUGGAGAAAGCGGUGAUUGUGAUUAGGUAUUUCAGCUUAUACAUUAUGUUAAGUCAGUCAGGAUGAGACAACUAGAAUGUAAAGUGAAUGCCUCGUUCUUACUAAAACAAAUUGAAAUGCAGCAGGUUGGAAUGUCAUGUCCUGCUAUUCUCAAAGUACCUUCACCCCUCUCUCGUAUUUGGAUUGAGAAGCAGUUAUUCAGCAUGCUCCUCCUUGAGGGCUUUGAUUUUGAUUUCCCAUCAAGUGGUGUCCAAAUCAGAGCAGGAGAACUUUUAUCUUCCUUGGAUGAAUCUGCGUGGUAAUGAGAUACAGAUGGCAAUAUUUUCUCUAGUCUUGUUAAAUUUUCAGAAGUGAAACUCUUGAUUUACUGUUCACUGCUUAGGAAGCUCUUUGUAAGUGGAUAUCAAUGAGAGGAUUUAGCAUGUCUUUGUCUGAUUUUUACUUUUGUUCUUAUUCCUACUCCCGGAGAAAAAAAUAUAUGAUUGAUAGAGACAAAGUGUGCUCUACAAGAAGCAGAGCAGAUCUGUCAAGUCGAACAAUCGAUGGUGGAUCCUGCCUUGGAGUACUUUCUCAAGCUUGGUGAAGAAACCAUUAUGCAAUGUUUCUCAACAUGGAGCACAAAUGUCACUUGAACCAGAAAUCUAUUUUCUUGAAUGCUGUUUUAGUUGGUACUUUUGGAGAAGUUUUCAUGACAUUCAAAACCUAAUCUAUCAGUAUUCCUGUUAAGGCAAUUCACUGUUGGACAUGGUAAAGGCUGGAAACAAGGGUAAUCUCUUGAAACUUGCUCAGCAAAGCGUAUGCCUUGGUUUGCAGCGUCCUUCAGUUCCAUUUCCUUUCAAAUUCCCCAACAGGAUUUCUUGUUAUAUGCGGAAUCAGCUUUCCCUUCGCACUUUUCUGAAGAGCUUGCUCUUAAUGCUACCUCUAGAUCAAGGUUUAGAUUUCAAAGAUCGCAUCAAUGGGUCCAUGCUGAUGGCAAUGCCGAAGGUGGGGGUUCCAUUUUCAUUUGUGGUUGUAUUUGCCUUGGGAUGCCCAGUCAUUAAUUACUUGCAUUACUUGUACCUAUUUUCAUUUUACUCCUUUUUAAUACAAUCUGAUCUUUUAGCAAAAAGGAAAAAGCUUAUGGAACUUCUGUAGAUAAUGAAUCUAAAGUUAACUUCUGUACAAGAUGAAUCUAAAGUUCCCUUUGCUAUGGUUAAAAA